UCUUAGGUGGCCGAAACAAAAUAAGCGAUAAACUUUUAAUUUAUUUAUGGUAAUUUUUACCCCUGAGGA
Molecule: transfer RNA, 69 nt
Filed under: Cocculina enigmadonta
Lineage: Eukaryota; Metazoa; Mollusca; Gastropoda; Cocculinidae
Description: tRNA-Lys
Source: RNAcentral